AAAUGAAUAGACGGGGGCCCGCACAAGCGGUGGAGCAUGUGGUUUAAUUCGAAGCAACGCGAAGAACCUUACCAGGUCUUGACAUACUCAUAAAGGCUCCAGAGAUGGAGAGAUAGCUAUAUGAGAUACAGGUGGUGCAUGGUUGUCGUCAGCUCGUGUCGUGAGAUGUUGGGUUAAGUCCCGCAACGAGCGCAACCCUUAUCGUUAGUUACCAUCAUUAAGUUGGGGACUCUAGCGAGACUGCCAGUGACAAGCUGGAGGAAGGCGGGGAUGACGUCAAAUCAUCAUGCCCCUUAUGACCUGGGCUACACACGUGCUACAAUGGAUGGUGCAGAGGGAAGCGAAGCCGCGAGGUGAAGCAAAACCCAUAAAACCAUUCUCAGUUCGGAUUGUAGUCUGCAACUCGACUACAUGAAGUUGGAAUCGCUAGUAAUCGCGAAUCAGCAUGUCGCGGUGAAUACGUUCUCGGGCCUUGUACACACCGCCCGU
This 489-nucleotide ribosomal RNA is filed under the name uncultured bacterium. RNAcentral describes it as "bacterial SSU rRNA". It matches the Rfam family "Bacterial small subunit ribosomal RNA", at positions 903 to 1397 of the family's 1533-position model. The record is from RNAcentral.